AGCAGCCGCGGUAAUUCCAGCUCCAAUAGCGUAUAUUAAAGUUGUUGCAGUUAAAAAGCUCGUAGUUGAAUUUCGGGGUCAAUAGGCUGGUCGUGCCACAGGUAUGUACUGGUCUUACUGAUUCCUCCUUCCUGAUGAACCGUAAUGCCAUUAAUUUGGUGUUGCGGGGAAUCUGGACUGUUACUUUGAAAAAAUUAGAGUGUUUAAAGCAGGCUAACGCUUGAAUACAUUAGCAUGGAAUAAUGAAAUAGGACGAUCGAUCCUAUUUUGUUGGUUUCUAGGAUUGACGUAAUGAUUAAUAGGGAUAGUUGGGGGCAUUAGUAUUCAAUUGUCAGAGGUGAAAUUCUUGGAUUUAUUGAAGACUAACUACUGCGAAAGCAUUUGCCAAGGAUGUUUUCAUUAAUCAAGAACGAAAGUUAGGGGAUCGAAGACGAUCAGAUACCGUCGUAGUCUUAACCAUAAACUAUGCCGACUAGGGAUCGGAUGAUGUUAAUUUUUAAUGACUCAUUCGGCGUCCG
This 518-nucleotide ribosomal RNA is filed under the name uncultured Glomus. Its description in RNAcentral is "SSU rRNA". It matches the Rfam family "Eukaryotic small subunit ribosomal RNA", at positions 569 to 1089 of the family's 1831-position model. Lineage: Eukaryota; Fungi; Glomeromycota; Glomeromycetes; Glomerales; Glomeraceae. The record is from RNAcentral.